UACAGAGGGUGCGAGCGUUGUCCGGAAUCACUGGGCGUAAAGGGCGCGUAGGCGGUCUCUUAAGCGUGUGGUGAAAGCCCGGGGCUCAACUCCGGGUCGGCCGUGCGAACUGGGAGACUGGAGCUUGUCAGAGGCAGGCGGAAUUCCGGGUGUAGCGGUGGAAUGCGUAGAGAUCCGGAAGAACACCGGUGGCGAAGGCGGCCUGCUGGGACAGUGCUGACGCUGAUGCGCGACAGCGUGGGGAGCAAACAGG
RNAcentral lists this ribosomal RNA (253 nucleotides) under uncultured bacterium. RNAcentral's name for it is "partial 16S ribosomal RNA". It matches the Rfam family "Bacterial small subunit ribosomal RNA", at positions 524 to 776 of the family's 1533-position model. The record is from RNAcentral.